AGUCAACAUGCCCAGGGGACGUGGAUAACCUCGGGAAACUGAGGAUAAACCGCGAUAGGUCAUCACUUCUGGAAUGGGUAAUGACUUAAAUCUAUAUGGCCCCUGGAUUGGACUGCGGCCGAUCAGGCUGUUGGUGAGGUAAUGGCCCACCAAACCUGUAACCGGUACGGGCUCUGAGAGGAGGAGCCCGGAGAUGGGCACUGAGACAAGGGCCCAGGCCCUAUGGGGCGCAGCAGGCGCGAAACCUCUGCAAUAGGCGAAAGCUUGACAGGGUUACUCUGAGUGAUUUCCGUUAAGGAGAUCUUUUGGCACCUCUAAAAAUGGUGCAGAAUAAGGGGUGGGCAAGUCUGGUGUCAGCCGCCGCGGUAAUACCAGCACCCCGAGUGGUCGGGACGCUUAUUGGGCCUAAAGCAUCCGUAGCCGGUUCUACAAGUCUUCCGUUAAAUCCACCUGCUUAACAGAUGGGCUGCGGAAGAUACUAUAGAGCUAGGAGGCGGGAGAGGCAAGCGGUACUCGAUGGGUAGGGGUAAAAUCCGUUGAUCCAUUGAAGACCACCAGUGGCGAAGGCGGCUUGCCAGAACGCGCUCGACGGUGAGGGAUGAAAGCUGGGGGAGCAAACCGGAUUAGAUACCCGGGUAGUCCCAGCUGUAAACGAUGCAGACUCGGUGAUGAGUUGGC
Molecule: ribosomal RNA, 678 nt
Filed under: uncultured crenarchaeote
Lineage: Archaea; Thermoproteati; Thermoproteota
Description: bacterial SSU rRNA
Rfam family: Archaeal small subunit ribosomal RNA
Source: RNAcentral